RNAcentral lists this ribosomal RNA (465 nucleotides) under uncultured bacterium. RNAcentral's name for it is "partial 16S ribosomal RNA". It matches the Rfam family "Bacterial small subunit ribosomal RNA", at positions 28 to 507 of the family's 1533-position model. The record is from RNAcentral.
GACGAGCGCUGGCGGCGUGCUUAACACAUGCAAGUCGAACGGUAAGGCUCCAGCUUGCUGGGGUACACGAGUGGCGAACGGGUGAGUAACACGUGGGUGACCUGCCCUGCACUUCGGGAUAAGCCUGGGAAACUGGGUCUAAUACCGGAUAGGACCGCACCGUGAGGGUGUGGUGGAAAGUUUUUUCGGUGUGGGAUGGGCCCGCGGCCUAUCAGCUUGUUGGUGGGGUAAUGGCCUACCAAGGCGGCGACGGGUAGCCGGCCUGAGAGGGUGGACGGCCACAUUGGGACUGAGACACGGCCCAGACUCCUACGGGAGGCAGCAGUGGGGAAUAUUACACAAUGGGCGGAAGCCUGAUGCAGCGACGCCGCGUGGGGGAUGACGGCCUUCGGGUUGUAAACUCCUUUCACCAUCGACGAAGGGUUUCUGACGGUAGAUGGAGAAGAAGCACCGGCUAACUACGUG